Non-coding RNA from Delitschia confertaspora ATCC 74209, 92 nucleotides. The record is from the annotation of a GenBank genome assembly. Lineage: Eukaryota; Fungi; Ascomycota; Dothideomycetes; Pleosporales; Delitschiaceae.
UCUUCCUUGGUCUAGUGGUCAUGAUUUCCGCUUGUCAGUCGGUUAUUCGAUAACAAGCGCGGGAGACCGGGGUUCGAUUCCCCGAGGGAGAG